Molecule: long non-coding RNA, 3678 nt
Filed under: Vitis vinifera (wine grape)
Lineage: Eukaryota; Viridiplantae; Streptophyta; Magnoliopsida; Vitales; Vitaceae
Description: long non-coding RNA (VVIN_LNC001711)
Source: RNAcentral
UGCACAUCAGUUGAUUCACCCACAUAAACUUCUUAACUCAAUACAUCUUCUCCCAGUAAGUUUUGAUUUUUUUCUUUUCAACAUACAACAUGAUGCAAAUAAGGUUUUAAACAUACUAACCUUUGGUGGCAUCUGGCAGACGACCCUCAGGUGGUGGCUCCGGCUUGUCCUGAGAUAAGAGGAGGACCAUUGUCAGCAUAAAAUAACAAGAUAAAUACAUUAUGAUAAAUGAAGAGAAUACAAAAUUGUAACAUCUAUCAAGAAUCAGAAUAUAAAUAGAGAAUAGAUGUAGGACAAUAUUUUAACUAAACUUGGAGGUCCACCAUCAUGUAGAUCUGUUCUAAUCUGCCACAAAGGAAUAGUGGCAUCAUGAGAAGAAAAGGAUAAAAUUGAAAAAAACAAGCAAAUCAUGUAUACCGUUUAAACAAAGAAAAGAAAAGGCCCCAGAAGAAAAAGGGGAAAAGACACAUGAUUUUUUUUUCUCCAAUGGCACUUUUACAAUGAACCAAACAAAAUCAGUAAAAAAAGAACAGAAAAUUUUUAGGGAAAAAUUUUAUACAAAUAAAUAAAAAUGGACACUGGCUUUGGAACACAUUUUAAACUCCUUUUGAUCAAUUGCUGUGGUUUUUGCCAUUCUCCAUGCAAAAACCCCAAUCCACUAGAAUAGAAAUAUAAUUACAUUCGUUUCAUUUUUUUUUUUUUGUCAGACAAAUGCUGUCUGAAAACGACUUUAGAAGUACUGUUCUUUUUUGUAGAGAAAUUAAUUAAGAUUUUUCCCCUUUCAAAGGACAAUGACUUUACAUAAAGCAGAAAAGGAAAUACCCAAAUACCCAAAAUCUUGAUAAUUUGGCAUCAAAAACCACAUUUCCCCCAUAAAAGGAAAGACAGACCAAUAAAACAAAAUAAAGACAUGUCAGAUACAUGCAUUGAAGUUUACAUGGCAUCUACACCUCUUAAAGUAAUAGAUCAAACAAAACAUGCUUAUAGAAACAUUGUGAUUCGGGCCACAGUCCCAAAACUGAGUGAAUAGGCCAUGCUGUAUUUAAAAAUAUAGGUUCUACCAAGUAUUCAGACCAAUCCAUUGGUUAUCUGCCAGAGGCAUAUGGACAAAUUAGUGCAUCAUAUAAGCUUUAAAGCAGGCGAAGUUAGAAUCCAGACAAAUUAGACAACCAUAUUGCAAGCUCUAGGUUACCAAGCUUUAAUAUCAACUAAUAAGUUUGCAAUGUAGCAUUAAGAAACAAUGCAAACACCGCUACCACCAAAGCAUUAUGUGGUGACUAUGAUAUCUGCUCCACAUCAAAUUUUCACUACAACCUAUUAAAAUACAUGAACCUAGUAAGCAAAAGGUAGGAUGCCCAGCUCCAACCCACCAAAUUUCAGUUUUUGAUUCAACCCAUACAAAACUUAUCUAGAUCAAAACAAUCACAAAAUUGAACUGUUAUACAGAACUACUUCCUUGUCCUAAUUUUAAAUAUGGAAUAUAACAGAGAUAGUCUGGUAAGGAAAACAUAAAUAAAAAGGAGGACAAGACAAUCCUAAGCAACAUAUUACAGCAACAGAUCAACUAAAUAGUUAGAACUUAAAAGUUUUUUCUUUAAAAAGAAUAUGCAAUUUUAACUGAAAUGAAAGAAUGGUGAUAAUUCACCUACCUCUCUCCCUGGGUGGAAAGGAAUUUCAGGCCCUCCAGUGACCUCAACAGCAACAACUCCAGCCAACUAAGUAACAUAGAAAAUGAAAAAGAAAAGUCAAUGUCUGAAAGCAUAAAAGAAAAAUUAUUGAAUAGAGUGGGAUAGGUGUGAUAAUGGCCCAAAAGGGAUAGCAAUUUUGAUAAUUCUGGUUAAGGACAAGACAAAGGGGGGAAAAUUUCCACAAAGGCCAUUUAGCAAAAUAAUAAACCAAAAUUUCAUAACUAUCCUUUAGUUAAAGUGGACAAAAUUUCAUAAAUCAAAAUAAUAAACCAAAACAAUUCUAAAAAAAUAUUUUCAAAACAACAUCUAAUAUGUUUUCUAAAACAUUUCCAUUUCUACUUUUAUCUAAAUUUAUAAAUAAAUAAAAAAGUUUCCCUAAUAAUGCAAUAAGAAUGAUUAUUUUUCAUAAUUUUUCUCUAAUUUCAAAUUUAUAAAUCAUGCUUUUUUAUUAUUAAGAUUGUGAAGAAAAAAUGUCUAAUUUUUUAUUUGGGUUGUUUAAAAGAAUUAGAAACACUAAUUCAUCAUUUUUUGUUUUUUACAAUUGAAUAAUUUUAAAAAAUUAUAUAAUGUUCAUAAUUUUUAGUUUUUUUCGUUUGCAUUGCAUGUUUAUCUUCUUUUUUUUUUUCUUUCAUAGCAUACAAUGAUGGAUGUUAAUACAUUGUAAUUUUAUAUUGGAUGUCGAUGAGGUAUAACUCCAAUACUAUUAUUUCUAUUAUAAAAAUAUAUUAUAAUUACAAUAUAAAUAUACUAAAAUUAUAAUACAUUACAACAAAACCUAAUUUAGAAAAUUUUAAACUUUUAUGUUCGCUAACAUAUUUAUAUUAUGAACCAUCUUUUAAAUCAAAUAAAGUAUUAAUUUGAAUUCAUGAAGCAUUUUUUUAAUUAUAAAAAUAAUUAAACAAUUUCAAUGCAUAAAAGUAAUGAUGUCAAUAGGGUAUAAAAAGGUAUUUCUAAAAUUAUUAAUUUUGUCAUAAAAAAAAAGGUGGGACAUAAAUUCAUUACACUUACAUUACAAAUGCACUACUAUAUUACAAUACAUUACAAUACAACCUAAUUAUUAAAAUCUUUAAUUUUUUUCACGUGCCAUACCAUUAGCCGAAUAUUUGUGUGUUAUAUUGAAUUGAGAUGCUCAUGAAAAAUAAAGCACACAUAAAAAUUAACUGUUUAUUCAAUUAGGGCAACAAAGCUUUUACGUAGCUAUAAGCAAUUGCUAAAGUUUGUUGUUACAUGCAUAAAGUAGCAUAUUAACCCUUGGGAUUGGUUUUUAUUUAAUAAAAAUCUCAAUUCUUUUUUUAAAUGAGAAAAGUAUAUUUCAAAUAAUCUAAUUUCUAAUAAUGAAAUUAAAAAAAUUAUAUAAAUUUGUAUUAGUUAUCCUUUGACUUUCCUAUUCUUUUCAACCCACAUAAGCUUAAGCAUGGUGAAUUGUAGGGUAAAGUUUAACUCUAAGGAAGAAAGGAGUAAUGGGAAAAAAAUUGACAAAAGGUAAAGUUAAUGUCUCAGAAGUUAGUUCCUCGAGGGAAUUUGAUAAAUAAGUGGCUGCCAUUAUCCCAUCUGACCGACCUAUUUGGUUGAAUCCUAAACAUUAAUAUGCAAAACAAAUUCUCACGUCCACUGACGUUUGAAGUGAACAAGCAAACCAAGAGGCCAUCAGAUUUACAGCAGCUUUUAAGAGCCAAGCAAAAAAUUAGCGUCCGUUUACAAAUAUAUCCAUAUAUAUAUAUAUUUUCUCUUUCAUUUUCCUAAACGUGUUUCUUGCAAACGAAAAGGAUCAAAACGAAAAUUAACAAAGGGAAAAGAGGAAGCUAGGAAAAAAAUUGCAAGUAUUUAUAAUACCUGAUAGAAGUCAGCGUACGAAAUGAUAGGGAAUUGUUCCUUGAUAGGUUCCAAGAGCCUAACGGCUAUAUCAAGACCGUUGUUGGCUCCGUGAGCUAGCUCUUCUGGCUUCUUCAUCGUUCCGAAAGGACCUCCGGUUCUCGUCUUCACAUCGAAG